Long non-coding RNA from Pogonomyrmex barbatus (red harvester ant), 1064 nucleotides. The record is from RefSeq and is a predicted model, not a curated record. NCBI's taxonomy places the organism in Eukaryota, Metazoa, Arthropoda, Insecta, Hymenoptera, Formicidae.
CCGUGGCGCGUCGUAAGCGGCAGAAUUGCGCGAGCCACUGUGUUAGUCGGACGGUGUUUACAUCGCGUCCGUGCUCUACGCAACUCGUAUCCGUAAUUCGGCAGCCGCGUCGCGUCGCGUCGCGCCGCGUUUCGCGUCGGUCGCGCGUGUCUCGGCACCGCGCGUCCUGGUGCAUCGUCGAUUUGUCGCCGUCGUCCGCCGUUCCGUACGUUCCGUACGUUCCGUACCCGCGAAACCGUUUUCGACUCGACGCGCACUUCGCGUCGUCGGCUUAUCUCGGCUGCGCCUCGAUCUGAAUGUGUUUGCGCCAGUCUCUCCUGUUGCUCCGCUGUUGCACGGCGGUUGACAUUGCUUUCGGUGACCGAUAGCCAGCCACGGCGAGGUGAGAAGAAAGGACCGAAGGAGUGAUUGGUGAUUUUUAGUGUUGUAUAUUGUAUAUUGUAUACAUAUCGGCAAAGUUGUGUUACGCACACGGAACAGACUCAGCUGGAAGGACGUGAAGGUGGCAGCGGGAGCUUUCGCGUCGCGGCCCAGGCGCGCAGCUGGAUUCCUGUCCUACUCGACCCCUGCGGACGUAGGCGAUUCGUGCUAGCCUCGUCCAGUUUGACUUUCGUCCCCUCGUUAGGUGAGUGAUGUCAAUGUUGCUUGCGAAAUCAGAUUGUAAAACACAUAUUUUGCAGUUCGUAGAGCAGAGAUGCAUUUACCGUGACGUAAUUGCGCGAGGGCCUCGAAAUUUCCCUUGGCAUAGUUUGGGAAAAACUAAUCUUUUAUCGGAGAGAUUUCGGGACUUGUCGGGAACUCGCACUAUGUUAUUCUAGGCGCGCGGGUUUCAUUAAAUGAAUAAAAUUUUCGUGUGAGAAUCUUUGAAAUGGGUUUUGUUGGCACAAAGAAAAUGCAUUCGGUGCAGAGGCAAUGAGAGCUUGACGCGCGUUACGCAGAAAAUGGUGACAGCGACGAGAAAGGAGUCGUUAAAAGGGAAUGUACAAUCGCUGCUUCUUUUCACGGCGGGAAAGCUUGGUCCUCUAACGCAAAUGCGAACGUACGUUGAUAAAAAAAAAAAAGAA